AGUGAACGCUGGCGGUAGGCCUAACACAUGCAAGUCGAACGGCAGCACAGUAAGAGCUUGCUCUUACGGGUGGCGAGUGGCGGACGGGUGAGGAAUACAUCGGAAUCUACUUUUUCGUGGGGGAUAACGUAGGGAAACUUACGCUAAUACCGCAUACGACCUACGGGUGAAAGCAGUGGAUCUUCGGACCUUGCGCGAUUGAAUGAGCCGAUGUCGGAUUAGCUAGUUGGCGGGGUAAAGGCCCACCAAGGCGACGAUCCGUAGCUGGUCUGAGAGGAUGAUCAGCCACACUGGAACUGAGACACGGUCCAGACUCCUACGGGAGGCAGCAGUGGGGAAUAUUGGACAAUGGGCGCAAGCCUGAUCCGGCCAUACCGCGUGGGUGAAGAAGGCCUUCGGGUUGUAAAGCCCUUUUGUUGGGAAAGAAAAGCAGCAGGUUAAUACCCCGCUGUUCUGACGGUACCCAAAGAAUAAGCACCGGCUAACUUCGUG
This 492-nucleotide ribosomal RNA is filed under the name uncultured bacterium. Its description in RNAcentral is "partial 16S ribosomal RNA". It matches the Rfam family "Bacterial small subunit ribosomal RNA", at positions 29 to 507 of the family's 1533-position model. The record is from RNAcentral.